This 253-nucleotide ribosomal RNA is filed under the name uncultured bacterium. Its description in RNAcentral is "partial 16S ribosomal RNA". It matches the Rfam family "Bacterial small subunit ribosomal RNA", at positions 524 to 776 of the family's 1533-position model. The record is from RNAcentral.
UACGGAGGGGGAUAGCGUUAUCCGGAAUCACUGGGUUUAAAGGGUGCGUAGGCGGCUUAAUAAGUCAGAGGUGAAAGGCUGUGGCUCAACCAUGGGAUUGCCUUUGAUACUGUUAGGCUUGAAUCAGGCUGAGGUUGGCAGAAGGUGGCAUGUAGCGGUGAAAUGCAUAGAUAUGCCAUAGAAUACCGAUUGCGAAGGCAGCUGACUGGACCUUGAUUGACGCUGAGGCACGAAAGCGUGGGGAGCGAACAGG